UACCGUGGCUGGGGCACCGGGUUGUACUGCGGCAGUGGUACCGGUGGUACUGUGGAGGAGCAGGCUCGUGCCGGGGUGGCUCGGGAUCAGCCUGCUAUAGCGGAGGCUCAACCUGCGGUAAUGGAUGAGGGUCAGGUAACUCCCUUCUCUCCUCUCGCCCUUGCUGGGCAGCUAUGAACCCUUCCAUCAUCUCAAAUAAUCUGUCUACAUCCUCUCGAAGCGAAUUAUCCCGGGCCGCUCGAUUUAGUGGGGGUCUUCCUCUCCUCAUUUAUUUGCACCUGUAUUUCAUAAGGAAUGGUUGAGUAACGACUUAUCGGUGAGUAUUUCUCUAAGCAUUAUUGUGUAAGGGAUGGGUCUGAGGAACGCAGCUCUGAUACCAACUGUAACAGCCCCGAAAUUUUAAAUGAAGAUGUAUGUAUUAAAAAUCUCAAAUGUGGAAGUGUAAUAAAAAUUUUGAUUAACAUCCCUUACACAAUAAC
Molecule: long non-coding RNA, 479 nt
Filed under: Carica papaya (papaya)
Lineage: Eukaryota; Viridiplantae; Streptophyta; Magnoliopsida; Brassicales; Caricaceae
Description: long non-coding RNA (CPAP_LNC008563)
Source: RNAcentral